GCCUUCAUAGCUCAGUGGUAGAGCGUUGGUCUUGUAAACCAAAGGCCGAGAGUUCGAUCCUCUCUGGAGGCA
This 72-nucleotide transfer RNA is filed under the name Daphnia magna. RNAcentral's name for it is "tRNA-Thr". It matches the Rfam family "tRNA". Rfam says of the family: Transfer RNA (tRNA) molecules are approximately 80 nucleotides in length. Their secondary structure includes four short double-helical elements and three loops (D, anti-codon, and T loops). The record is from RNAcentral. RNAcentral also lists the same sequence under 1 other name. Lineage: Eukaryota; Metazoa; Arthropoda; Branchiopoda; Diplostraca; Daphniidae.